AUGAACAAGCAGAUCCUCACAAACCUUUCUCUGAAGAUAAAUGUCAAGGUUGGGGGAAGGAACACUGUGCCGACUGAUGCAGUGUCAAGGUGCAUGCCUCUGGUCACUGACAGGCCGACGAUCAUAUUCGGCGCCGAUGUCACCCACCCCCAUCCUGGUGAAGACAGCAGCCCUUCCAUUGUUGUAGUUGUGGCCUCCCAAGAUUGGCCUGAGGUGACCAAGUAUGCUGGCCUAGUGUCUGCUCAGGCUCACAUGCAGGAACUGAUAGAGGAUCUGUACAAUGUCACCCAUGAUCCUCAGAGAGGAACCAUCCAUGGUGGCAUGAUCAGGGAGCUUCUUAUAUCCUUCAAAAGAUCAACUGGAGAAAAGCCUCAGAGGAUACUAUUCUUUCGGGAUGGUGUGAGUGAAGGCCAGUUCUACCAAGUCCUGCUGCACGAGCUCGACGCCAUUUGA
This 453-nucleotide ribosomal RNA is filed under the name Triticum aestivum (bread wheat). RNAcentral describes it as "partial small subunit ribosomal RNA". The record is from RNAcentral. Lineage: Eukaryota; Viridiplantae; Streptophyta; Magnoliopsida; Poales; Poaceae.